RNAcentral lists this non-coding RNA (470 nucleotides) under Chelonia mydas (Green sea turtle). RNAcentral describes it as "Eukaryotic large subunit ribosomal RNA". It matches the Rfam family "Eukaryotic large subunit ribosomal RNA", at positions 149 to 621 of the family's 3401-position model. Lineage: Eukaryota; Metazoa; Chordata; Testudines; Cheloniidae. The record is from Rfam by way of RNAcentral.
ACUGCAGAAACACAAGUUAACAUUCUGAGGAAUCAGCAGCCCUGACCACCCCAGCAUGCUGGGACCGGGUCUUCUCGGAGUCGGGUUGCUUGGGAAUGCAGCCCAAAGCUGGUGGUAAACUCCAUUUAAGGCUAAAUCCUGGCACAAGACGGAUAGUCAACAAGUACCAUAAGGGAAAGUUGCAAAGAACUUUGAAGAGAGAGUUCAAGAGGGCGUGAAACCAUUAAGAGGUAAAUCGGUGGGGUCUGCACAGUCUGCCUGGAGGAUUCCUUUCUUCCCAUUUCUACUUCCCAGUUUAUUCAGUUAAACAGCUACCUUAUUUUAGCUCAUAAGAGAUCCUUUCUGUGCUGCUCAGCUCUCUGCCUCCUUUACUCCCAUUAUAUACUUUCUCCUAUUUUAUCCUGCUUUAAGAAUUCUAGAGCUUCCCACAAAGUUUAUUUCAAAUAGCCACCCAACUGCCUGCAAUGCAA